Molecule: long non-coding RNA, 1037 nt
Organism: Micropterus salmoides (largemouth bass)
Lineage: Eukaryota; Metazoa; Chordata; Actinopteri; Centrarchiformes; Centrarchidae
Exons: 2
Source: RefSeq, a predicted model, not a curated record
AAUAUGAGCAAAACCCUUUUCCACUACCUUCCUUGGAAGAAAAUAUUGCAUGAAAUCCUUUUCAUAUGUGGCCAACAAUGGCACAUACACCAACUUCCUGCCUAGCACAAUAGCUUUAUGAAGCCAUUCACGGUUUUAGAGCAGAAGGAUCUCCUAGCACAAAUGAGUGUGACAUUACAAGUCGCGACCUUUUUAUAAAAAGUCUAUGGUUUCGACAAUGUGGAUAUUUUACAAGAGCGGACCAGGUAAAGAGACAGUGAACACACCAGUCAGAUGUUAUUCGGUUUUUUAGUGACUUUAUACAGCCUAGCCUACUACUGAUGGAGAAGUCACCGAAGCGGACAUACAGGGAGAGAGAGACGGUAAAACCGUCUGCAAGCUGCCUGGAUUUUUCCUCGUCAUUGUUGUUGGUGGACGAGCCGGUCUUCAGAGUGUCCUGCUGCUCCGACUGCCACUCGCCACGAGUGAUGAGACGCCGCAUCUGGACCAUCACAGGGACAGGAAGUCAGUAAAGAGCAAAAUCAGGCCUGAGUGUAUUGGCGUGCUGAAUGAAUAUUGCAGCUAUAUACAAUUAUACACUUAUUGAGAACGCAUUUUUAAAAUCUGCAGCCCUUUUAGCCAUGUCUGCAGGCUUCAAGAUGUUUUCAUGACUGAAAUUAUAUGUUCAUUACAAUGGCGAAAUCCUUGGCACUUAAUGCUCACUCCUGUUAGGUUUCUGCACUGCGCUCCCAGAAAUAGGGGGUAAUGUUUAUUUCCUUGGAUUUUCAGCAAAUGAAGUUUGAAUUUCUGUAGGUGGCACUCUUUCCUCUGUCUGCACAGUGUGCAGCAGUGCUCAUGUGCACUAUUUAUUCAAACAACUCAUUGUAGGUGCUGCCAGACAUGUAAAAUGUCUCACUUUGUUUGUGCUAGAGUAUUUUUUUUAACAACACGAAACAGCAGUUUACAGCAGCUAAACAUAUAAAAACUUGUUAUAUUAACUAUCUAACUUAACAGAUUAUUGUUGUAAUGGCGGAAUCACAGAUUAAAUAUUUGAUCAU